This 552-nucleotide long non-coding RNA is filed under the name Capra hircus (goat). Its description in RNAcentral is "lncRNA (ENSCHIG00000001656.1)". The record is from RNAcentral. Lineage: Eukaryota; Metazoa; Chordata; Mammalia; Artiodactyla; Bovidae.
UCACAGGGCAGUCUGUGAAGACCACAAAUACUGUUUACUACAGUAACUUGGUCACCCACAGAGGAGGCAGGACUCUGGCUCACAGAAGUUUUCAUAGAGCGCCAUCCUGGACAUUACACAGCUGCGGAGAUGAACAAUCAAAGGGAAAACUACCCAGAACCAAGUCUGGCUAAGGACGCCAGGAAACAGCAAAUGAGAGAUUUACCGUCACCUUGAGAGAAGUUCGUUGCCGUGAUCCUGAGAAUCAUCUGUUUUGUCUUGAUGUAUACUCUAGUGAGAGUGAUAACUUUUAUUCCAAAAUGUCAUUCUGGUCAUUGUCCAAAAGACUGGUUACAUAUUCCAGCAACUGCUAUUAUAUUACUUUUGGGAAAAAAAAACAUGGAAUAGGAGUUUGAUAGCCUGUACUUCUAGGAACUCUAUUCUGCUUCAUAUAGACAACGAAGAGGAAAUGGUAAGAUAUUAAAUGUUUCCAACACUUUGCUAAAGGCUUGAUUCAGUAUUAUAUUUGUUAGAAUACACUUUAUGUUUUUGUACAUAUUUGUAGUAUGUUUA